Molecule: long non-coding RNA, 1542 nt
Organism: Capsicum annuum
Lineage: Eukaryota; Viridiplantae; Streptophyta; Magnoliopsida; Solanales; Solanaceae
Exons: 2
Source: RefSeq, a predicted model, not a curated record
GACGGGUUUUAAAAGUCUUGACUAUGCCUAAUUGAUAAUUUACAGUUGAUUGAUUUAUAUACUAUCUUUAAUUGAGAGACGUGGCUGAUUACUUUAAAUAUGGUUUAUGGUAAGUAAUUACUUUUGAUUGAGUCGUGUCAAUUUUUUUCUAAAAAUUAAGUACUAUUAAUUAUUGUUUUCCUUGAUUAUGUGAUCACUAUAUGGUAGUUCUUCUUUUCUUUGGUAAGUAAAUAAUUUGUAUGACUGAUUUGCUUAACCGAUCUUUCCUUUAUUGGAUUUGACUAAAUUUUGUGUGAUUUUAUAUUUCCCUUAAUUAGCAUAUAAUCUGAAAAGGAAAUUUGGUUGACAGACAUCCCCUCACACGUUAAUUAUGGUAAAUUUUGAUACCUCUUCUUGAUUUCAUUUAACAAGUAGGAAGGAUCUCUUUUUACUUGUUCUAUUCAUGGAAAUUUCAAAUGUUAUAAUUUGACAUACCCUUGUUUAUUUAUUUAUGGAAACUAUAGUAUGAUUGGUGGAACGGAUUGAUUUACCCCAUCCAUUUAAGGGAACAAUCCCCUUAAUUGAUUCAUUAUAUGUUAUUCUUCCUUCAUUAAAUAUUAUUCUUCCUUCAUUAUUUGGGAUCAUGGACGGCCCUCCUCACUAUAUAAACUCACCAUUCUCUUUUUCUAAGUGGACAGACUUUUCCUUCGCUAUUACUCCCUCUAUUUUCUGUUAAAAGUACUUUGAAGUUCUUUGGCACUUUGGAUUUCGAAAAACAUUCGGUCUUCUCCUUGCUGCAAUUGCUUUGGGUUCUAUUAUUAUUGUUUAGUGCCUAAUCAGUUAGUCUCUAUCGACACAUUCUUUUCUUAUUCUGUAGCAUUUGUGAUAGCAAAGCAUUGAAAGCAUGUCUAUAGGAACUAAUUUAAAAUAAUUAUGUUGUGCUUACUUGUUAUGCCUGUGUUUCUUUGUUCCUCUAUAUAAGACAAUCUGUUGGUAUAUUCAAGUAUUCCUUCUAUGCUUGUACCACUCUUUUGCACGUAUGUGACAGGUAUUAAGUGGUAUUGGAAAAGUCUCCGGGGACUUGGGAGUGGUUUCUAAUUUCUUUCUUAGUUUAGUUUCAUAGCUUCAUUUUAUUUAUUCCUUGGUGUGUAUUGUAAUACAAACCUCACUGAUGUAAUGGUAAUUAUUGGGAUGGGGAUUUGUGCUCUAUGAAUCGCGUAGGCAAACACAACCUUAGUUUGUCCAUUCUUAAUUAUCCUACGCAUCAAAACUUGUCCCAUUUCCCCUCACACGAAGAUUCUCGUCCUUACACUGUGAAUAAAGCAAGUGAUGAGCCGUUUUCAUCACUUACAACUUUAUUUUCUGCUAAUCUUAUUCUUUCUCUGAACAGCAAAAGGUUUCACUUCCUGAGGUUACUCAAUAGCCUAAAGAAAGGAUUUUUAUUCUAUUUUUUGUGUGAGAUCUUAUUGGGAAGACAAAGUGUGUGAAUCACAUUCAGCAGAGUGGGAGAAAAGGUGAAGAAAUUUAAGAGAGGAUUUUGAAGGAUGAAUGUUAGCUCAGCUA